CGGCGGACGGGUGAGUAACACGUGGAUAACCUACCUAUAAGACUGGGAUAACUUCGGGAAACCGGAGCUAAUACCGGAUAAUAUAUUGAACCGUAUGGUUCAAUAGUGAAAGACGGUUUUGCUGUCACUUAUAGAUGGAUCCGCGCCGCAUUAGCUAGUUGGUAAGGUAACGGCUUACCAAGGCAACGAUGCGUAGCCGACCUGAGAGGGUGAUCGGCCACACUGGAACUGAGGCACGGUCCAG
Molecule: ribosomal RNA, 244 nt
Filed under: uncultured Staphylococcus sp.
Lineage: Bacteria; Bacillati; Bacillota; Bacilli; Caryophanales; Staphylococcaceae
Description: partial 16S ribosomal RNA
Rfam family: Bacterial small subunit ribosomal RNA
Source: RNAcentral